RNAcentral lists this long non-coding RNA (1799 nucleotides) under Marmota monax (woodchuck). Lineage: Eukaryota; Metazoa; Chordata; Mammalia; Rodentia; Sciuridae. The record is from RNAcentral.
UUUUUUUUUAAGCAGGAUGCUAACCGCAAGUUCUCAAAUCCCAAGCCACAGACCUGACCCUCAUCUGAUGAAACAAUCAGCAGUGCUAAAGGCCUUAUUGAUAAACUUUUCCUCCAAGUCCAAGAAUCACAGAGAUCAACUGAGGGAAGUGCCCCUGGCAGAGGAGCCGGGAUGAAUGUGGACUUGGGUCACAUCAGAAUCUGCCUUUUAUUAUGCUGCUAACUGGAGUGGCUUCACACGCGAUAAUUGGAUGUCUUGCCAAGUGGGACACUGUUGCAUGCAAACACGCUUGCACACACACGCUCCCAUGUGCACACACACACGCAGAUACGUAAGGAGGCCCAGAGAUACACAUGCAGCAGAUGCAACAGUAUUUCACACAGAGAGACUUCUGGAUCCCCAGGCCAGCUGGGAAUUUCAGUCCCAAUAAUAGAUGACUGUCCCUGCCCUAACCAGAAAUCAGUUAUUUCAACCUCCAACCCAGAAUAUAAAAACGUUUUCUAAUUUCCUGAGUUGACACACAGCCUCUUGUGCCUCUCCAAAGUUGGGAAACCUAGUGCGUCACUGGGAACCCCAUGUGAUCAUUGUUAUUAAUGACAAUAAUAGCUAUAGAUUUUUGAGUCUAGCUCUGUGCCUCGUACUAUGCUAGUAGUAGACUAUCUCAAAUAAUCCAGCAAGGGGGAAACUCUUAUCUCCAUUUUACAGAAGCUUAUCCUGUGUUUUAGAGAAACUAACCUGCUCCUGCAUUUAGCACGAGGCGGAACUGGGAUUUGAGCCUGGAACUCUUACUCCACCACCCUGGCUCUUGCUAAGUCCUAUUAGCUUGUAUAGGACACGCUUCCUUCUCUGUUCUUCUGUAAGUUCUGCUGAUUGAUCCCUGGCUGUAGGUCUGGAGUCUUGCAGAGAUCUCUUCCUGUCCUCUUGUCCCUAUCCUUUGAUGCCCCCUGGAAGUCCUUUUUCAAAUACAGGUCCCCAAGGAAUUCCCCAGAGAUAGUUCCUUCCUCGGUUCAACGCUGUACUUCAAGUGUGCCAUUGGGUUUUUGAGAAGCCACAUCCCAUCACUGCCUGUUUUAAAAAACUACAGUUUUUUUUAUUUGAUUUUAGUUAGCCCAUUUUUUAACAUAAACUGCUGUAAGCUACUUCUGUAGCUGAGAUUUAAAAAUAUGUUUUCAGCUUAUUAUGCCAGCUACUUAUAAGAUUGUUUUGAAGUUCUAGUUUGUCAGCCAGUACAUGAGCUAGGCUUGCAGCUUCCAGACAAACUGGCUGAGCAGGUUUUCUGUGCCCAGCCAAUGAUCAAAACCAGGCCAAGGGUCAAGGUUGACUCUGUUCCAUCUGCUAGAGACCACCUAUCGGUGACACUGAUCUGUGAAGCAUGACUCUGGUUCCAAUGUCAAAUACUGGGUUUCACUGUGAAUUUGGACUAAAACUAGAUUGAUGCCAGGGGUCCCUUCUGAAGAAUUAGAGGGCAAAGUUCAAUUGCAAGCCAGGAAAAAAGGGUAAGGUCAGGGGAGAAAUACUGAAGCUGGGAACCUUGUGCCUUGCCAGAAGGCGAGAGAGGCCGAAGACAAACCCAGGUGUUGGCAUUCAGUCUGCAAACACCAGCAGCUUAAGGAGGAUAUACCAACGAGGGAGUUCAAGACAAGCACCCAGCUUAGGAAUAGGCAGCUUAAAGAGGCAUUUCAGGCAAUGUCCAAACAAAUUCCAGAAGGCUGAAUCCUGAUGGUGUGGGGCUUCUUUUAAAGGUGCAGACUCCCACCCUUUCUGAGCAUGUACUCAGCUAUCUUAAAGGUACCAUGGGC